CCUACGGGUGGCUGCAGUAGGGAAUAUUGCACAAUGGGGGAAACCCUGAAGCAGCAACGCCGCGUGGGGGAUGAAGGUUUUCGGAUUGUAAACUCCUUUUGUUAGAGAAGAUAAUGACGGUAUCUAAAGAAUAAGCACAGGCUAACUCCGUGCCAGCAGCCGCGGUAAUACGGAGGGUGCAAGCGUUACUCGGAAUCACUGGGCGUGAAGAGCGCGUAGGCGGGAUAGCAAGUCAGAUGUGAAAUCCUAUGGCGUAACCAUAGAACUGCAUUUGAAACUGUUAUUCUAGAGUAUGGGAGAGGUAGGUGGAAUUCUUGGUGUAGGGGUAAAAUCCGUAGAGAUCAAGAGGAAUACUCAUGGCGAAGGCGAGCUGCUAGAACAUAACUGACGCUGAUGCGCGAAGGCGUGGGGAGCGAACAGGAUUAGAUACCCUUGUAGUC
Molecule: ribosomal RNA, 440 nt
Filed under: uncultured bacterium
Lineage: Bacteria
Description: partial 16S ribosomal RNA
Rfam family: Bacterial small subunit ribosomal RNA
Source: RNAcentral